AAUUGAUAAAAAAGUUAUUGAUUCCCAUAUGCCAUGAAAAAGAACUUAAAAUACAUUAAUACAAAUGUAGAAUGUGGUUAGAAAUUUUAAAGCAACACUAAAGAUUAGAGGCUUCAAUAUAUAAAUUACUUACCAAAAACUCAAUAUUUUCGUAGGGGUUAGCACAUAGAUUUUGAAAAAAUUUCAAAAAAUACGACAAUAUUGUUUUAAUGCAUAGUUGGAUCCUGCACUAACAUAUGAUGAUGUUCAAAGAGGUUUGGAGCCUUUCUCGUCUCCGCUUUUCUAGAAAAUAAUGAUUUUAUAGUGGUUAUUCCAUCGAUUUAGGGAGUAUUAUGAAGUUCUAAAAAGUUAAUUGAUAAAAAAGUUAUAACGAUUCCCAUUUACCAUGAAAAAAAUCUUAAAAUACAUUAAUGCAAAUGUAGAAUGUGGUUAGAAAUUUUAAAACAACACUAAGAUUAUAGGCUUCGGUAUAUAAGUCAUUUACCAAAAACUCAAUAUUUUCGUAGGGGUUGCACAAGGAUUUUGAGUAAAUUUCAAAAAAUAUGACAAUAUUGUUUUAGUGCAUAGUUGCAUUAUGCACUAACAUAUGAUGAUGUUCAAAGAGGUAUGGAGCCUUUUUGUCUCCGUUUUUCAAGAAAAUAGUGAUUUUAUAGUGGUUAUUCCAUCGAUUUAGGGAGUAUUAUGAAGUUUUACUAAAUUAAUUAAUAAAAACAAUUGAAGGAUGCUCAUUUACCAUGAAAAAGAGUUUAACAUACAUUAAUACAAAUGUAGAAUAUGGUUAGAAAUUUUAAAACAACACUAAAGAUUAUAGGCUUCAGUAUAUAUAAAGUAUUUACCAAAAACUCAAUAUUUUCGUAGGGAACACCUAGAUUUUGAGAAAAUUUCAAAAAAUACUACAAUAUUGUUUUAAUUACUAGUUGCAUCUUGCACGAACAUAUGAUGAUUUUCAAAGAGGUUUGGAGCCUUUGGUUGUCUCCGUUUUUCAAGAAAAUAGUGAUUUUAUAGGGGUUAUUCCAUCGAUUUAUGGAAUAUUAUGAAGUUUUUCUAAAUUAAUUGAUAAAAACAAUUGAAAGAUGCUCAUUUACCAUGAAAAAAAAGUUUAUCAUACAUUAAUACAAAUGUAGAAUAUGGUUAGAAGUUUUAAAACAACA
Brassica rapa (field mustard) is the source of this 1151-nucleotide long non-coding RNA. RefSeq lists it as uncharacterized. The record is from RefSeq and is a predicted model, not a curated record. NCBI's taxonomy places the organism in Eukaryota, Viridiplantae, Streptophyta, Magnoliopsida, Brassicales, Brassicaceae.